AGUGAACGCUGGCGGUAGGCCUAACACAUGCAAGUCGAACGGCAGCACAGUAAGAGCUUGCUCUUACGGGUGGCGAGUGGCGGACGGGUGAGGAAUACAUCGGAAUCUACUUUUUCGUGGGGGAUAACGUAGGGAAACUUACGCUAAUACCGCAUACGACCUACGGGUGAAAGCAGGGGGUCUUCGGACCUUGCGCGAUUGAAUGAGCCGAUGUCGGACUAGCUAGUUGGCGGGGUAAUGGCCCACCAAGUCGACGAUCCGUAGCUGGUCUGAGAGGAUGAUCAGCCACACUGGAGCUGAGACACGGUCCAGACUCCUACGGGAGGCAGCAGUGGGGAAUAUUGGACAAUGGGCGCAAGCCUGAUCCAGCCAUACCGCGUGGGUGAAGAAGGCCUUCGGGUUGUAAAGCCCUUUUGUUGGGAAAGAAAAGCAGCAGGUUAAUACCCCGCUGUUCUGACGGUACCCAAAGAAUAAGCACCGGCUAACUUCGUG
RNAcentral lists this ribosomal RNA (492 nucleotides) under uncultured bacterium. RNAcentral's name for it is "partial 16S ribosomal RNA". It matches the Rfam family "Bacterial small subunit ribosomal RNA", at positions 29 to 507 of the family's 1533-position model. The record is from RNAcentral.